Molecule: transfer RNA, 86 nt
Filed under: Candidatus Bathyarchaeota archaeon
Lineage: Archaea; Thermoproteati; Candidatus Bathyarchaeota
Also listed under: 1 other name
Description: tRNA-Ser
Rfam family: tRNA
About the family: Transfer RNA (tRNA) molecules are approximately 80 nucleotides in length. Their secondary structure includes four short double-helical elements and three loops (D, anti-codon, and T loops). Further hydrogen bonds mediate the characteristic L-shaped molecular structure. tRNAs have two regions of fundamental functional importance: the anti-codon, which is responsible for specific mRNA codon recognition, and the 3' end, to which the tRNAs corresponding amino acid is attached (by aminoacyl-tRNA synthetases). tRNAs cope with the degeneracy of the genetic code in two manners: having more than one tRNA (with a specific anti-codon) for a particular amino acid; and 'wobble' base-pairing, i.e. permitting non-standard base-pairing at the 3rd anti-codon position.
Source: RNAcentral
GUCGGGUUCUCCUAGCCUGGUAGGGAGCUGGCCUGCUAAGUCAGUGCGGAUUCCGCACAUGGGUUCAAAUCCCAUACCCGACGCCA